AGCUGUGUUCAAGAGAUAGGCAAUGUUUUACCUUGUAAUGCAGCUGUACUUGGUAAUGAGCAAGAAUCACCCAGGUGAUACUGAUUUUGAGGUCAUGAAGAACAGCUGAGCCUUGGGACUGUGUGAGAUCAUGGAAGGACAUUGGUGAAAGUGUAUCCUCAGUUACAGUUGAUGUCUCAGGACUUAUGGGGUCAUGCAAAGGAUUUGAGACUUGGCACCUUGAAUACAGCCUAUGAGAGACUAUUUGUGAAGCCUUGUUAUUGCUGAAGACCCCAGUGUAUUGGAGAUGCCAUUACUAUGGGAUGAUCACCAUUAACAGUAGCAGUGAUGGAGUGAAUCAACCUGAUCUUAGGAUGCUAUAACAGGCAGAGCUGGUGAAGUGAUGCCAGGCCUUUGGAGUUGCCCAGAAGAUCAUGUGUGGAUCUCAGACAUUGAAACAAGCUGCCUGAAAGUGAGUAUUCUGCUAACUGCAUUCAGAACAAGAUGUAGAACUCUCAGCUCCUCCAGCCCCAUUUCUGCUUGGACACUGCCAUUCUCCUGCCUUGAUGAUAAAGGACUGAACUGCUGAACCAAUGAGCCAGCCUCAAUUAAAUGUCAUCUUUGUAAGUGUUGACUUGGUCCUGAUAUCUGUUCAAGGCAGUAUAACCCUAACUAAGAUACUUACAAAGCAUUACACAAAUUUUUAUCAUUAAGUUAGCCAAAAGUAUUCUGAAAUGUCAAAUAUCAAGUUUUGACUACCCUUGGCUUUGAGAUUUGAUCCUGCAGCCCGUUUGGACUGAGCUGUUCUUUGUGUGGGAAAAUAGGAGAGAAGCAUUGCUAUUGGCUGGCUGCUUCCUUGCUAACACUGAUAUUUCCUAUUUAAAUGUCUGUGGGAACUCCAGACCCCAUUCCUUCCCAGAUUUCAUUAUUCCUUUGGAACACUGGCAAUUAACCCCUUGCUCUGAGCCCUGCCAUUUACUUUGAUUAUCUUCAUUACUACCUAGUAUUUUGUGGCUCAGAAGGCAGCCUUCUGAUAUCUGAAGCCACUCCUUUGCAGUCUGUCUUAGCUAUGGAUUCUAUUGCUGUAAAGAGACACUAUGACCAGGAAAACUCUUUUUAUUAUUAUUAAAUAUUUUCU
Molecule: long non-coding RNA, 1117 nt
Filed under: Mus spicilegus (steppe mouse)
Lineage: Eukaryota; Metazoa; Chordata; Mammalia; Rodentia; Muridae
Description: lncRNA (ENSMSIG00000001461.1)
Source: RNAcentral